GGAGCAGAUGACGAUAAAACAGACAGGGACAUCUGUACCUGUUAAAACAGGGUUGAUGACUGGUCUUGGGAAUCUCUCUGAUGCUUC
This 87-nucleotide small nucleolar RNA is filed under the name Zostera marina. RNAcentral describes it as "Small nucleolar RNA R44/J54/Z268 family". It matches the Rfam family "Small nucleolar RNA R44/J54/Z268 family". From Rfam's summary of the family: R44, J54 and Z268 are members of the C/D class of snoRNA which contain the C (UGAUGA) and D (CUGA) box motifs. Most of the members of the box C/D family function in directing site-specific 2'-O-methylation of substrate RNAs. The record is from Rfam by way of RNAcentral. Lineage: Eukaryota; Viridiplantae; Streptophyta; Magnoliopsida; Alismatales; Zosteraceae.